RNAcentral lists this ribosomal RNA (323 nucleotides) under Shigella flexneri. RNAcentral describes it as "partial 16S ribosomal RNA". It matches the Rfam family "Bacterial small subunit ribosomal RNA", at positions 1223 to 1533 of the family's 1533-position model. Lineage: Bacteria; Pseudomonadati; Pseudomonadota; Gammaproteobacteria; Enterobacterales; Enterobacteriaceae. The record is from RNAcentral.
UGCUACAAUGGCGCAUACAAAGAGAAGCGACCUCGCGAGAGCAAGCGGACCUCAUAAAGUGCGUCGUAGUCCGGAUUGGAGUCUGCAACUCGACUCCAUGAAGUCGGAAUCGCUAGUAAUCGUGGAUCAGAAUGCCACGGUGAAUACGUUCCCGGGCCUUGUACACACCGCCCGUCACACCAUGGGAGUGGGUUGCAAAAGAAGUAGGUAGCUUAACCUUCGGGAGGGCGCUUACCACUUUGUGAUUCAUGACUGGGGUGAAGUCGUAACAAGGUAACCGUAGGGGAACCUGCGGUUGGAUCACCUCCUUACCUUAAAGAAGC